AUGCUGAAUUAGUGAUCGGCAUCGGGUGAAUUUAAACUCUUUUAAGGAGACUAACAUGUCACUAACUAAAGAACAGAAGCAAGAAAUCGUUGCUCAGUACGCACGU
RNAcentral lists this non-coding RNA (106 nucleotides) under human gut metagenome. RNAcentral describes it as "Ribosomal S15 leader". It matches the Rfam family "Ribosomal S15 leader", at positions 7 to 111 of the family's 117-position model. From Rfam's summary of the family: The E. coli Ribosomal S15 gene 5' UTR can form two alternative structures. The record is from RNAcentral.